Molecule: ribosomal RNA, 389 nt
Filed under: uncultured bacterium
Lineage: Bacteria
Description: bacterial SSU rRNA
Rfam family: Bacterial small subunit ribosomal RNA
Source: RNAcentral
AAUGGGGGAAACCCUGAUGCAGCAACGCCGCGUGAAGGAAGACGGUUUUCGGAUUGUAAACUUCUAUCAAUAGGGACGAAAGAAAUGACGGUACCUAAAUAAGAAGCCCCGGCUAACUACGUGCCAGCAGCCGCGGUAAUACGUAGGGGGCAAGCGUUAUCCGGAAUUACUGGGUGUAAAGGGUGAGUAGGCGGCAUGGCAAGUAAGAUGUGAAAGCCCGAGGCUUAACCUCGGGAUUGCAUUUUAAACUGCUAAGCUAGAGUACAGGAGAGGAAAGCGGAAUUCCUAGUGUAGCGGUGAAAUGCGUAGAUAUUAGGAAGAACACCAGUGGCGAAGGCGGCUUUCUGGACUGGAAACUGACGCUGAGGCACGAAAGCGUGGGGAGCGAA